Molecule: long non-coding RNA, 1147 nt
Organism: Pantherophis guttatus
Lineage: Eukaryota; Metazoa; Chordata; Lepidosauria; Squamata; Colubridae
Source: RefSeq, a predicted model, not a curated record
UUCAUUUACAAGCCCGUUUUGCUGACUUGCAUGCACCAUCUUGCCAAACAUCCUGUGAACACGUUUGCACAGAUAUUUGCGUAACUAAAUUACUUUGUGUGGGUUCCAACUGAAGCACAGAUAAACCCAUCUGUAUAGUUAUUAAAAUCUUAGGGCGCUUUAUAAAUUCUUGAACGACUACUGCUACUAUCAGUAGAAUGGUUGUUUAUAGAUAAAAGAAGCACCAAGCCACAAAGCAUACUCAUUAAAAAAAAAAAAAGGCAGAGGUGUGGAAUUUAACGUUCAACAAAGGAGUAGAGCAACCUCAAGAGUAAGCACAAAGAUCAAGCAAGAAAAUCAUGAGAUCCGAGACAGAAGCAAUAUCUAGAUUACUUCUUUCUGAUCUGCGCAGUUACGUAUGUGAGUUCCUUGCUUGAACAGAACAACUUCUGGACCAUCUACAACAAACCUAAAGUCUCACAUCUGGGACUGCCUCAAGACCAGAUGAAGGAGAGUAUGCGACAUGACGAAGCUCUCCCAGAUGCCAAAUCACCAACUCUUCUGGAAACCGUAUUGCUGACUACAAAUACUCACUUAAGUUUGCAAGAUGUUCCGUCGUUUUAUCAUGACAUCGUUAAGGAAUAAAAGCAUCAGCACAGAAAUGGGAAGAAUGCCACAAAAUUACUGUCAUUUCUAUCUGGAUGUUUUGAUGUACAUAUCAGCAUCCUAUAACACAGGCAUAAAGCAAUUGAAGCUUUCAAUUGCCAUUGAUAGAAAAAGCUAAUGUGUCAUCUUAAAAAAAACAAAGCCAGUCAUGAUGGAAGGAGUGGGAAGGAACAGUUGCCCUUGUGUACAUGUCAAUCAAAAACAGCAGAAAGUAGCCUGCAAAAAUAAUUAACACGCUCAACCUGCUGUUUGGGGUUGAUCGAGCAGUUUUGCUAAGUUAUUCUUUCAAAGUAGAAGCUGUAAUCCCAGCCAGAACAUUAUAAACCAUUGAACCAUCCUCCAGAUCAGGCUGAUUAGCAGAAUCCAGCGGAGAGACAGAACAGAGUUCUUGGAAGAGCUCAUUCCCAGAAUGUUGGCUAGCUAUCCUCUGCUUGAACAUAUCCGUGAAGAUGUACAUUAACAAUCCAUGAGCACAAAGAGAAAGACCUUGAAGGAUAAAGUU